This is a non-coding RNA of Vigna umbellata (rice bean), 2091 nucleotides long. NCBI's taxonomy places the organism in Eukaryota, Viridiplantae, Streptophyta, Magnoliopsida, Fabales, Fabaceae. The record is from RefSeq and is a predicted model, not a curated record.
AAUAAUUUAGGCUGUGUUCGUUUGAAAGGAAAAAACUGUUCAGGCUGAUAUGUGAGGAUGGAUUUGAGAAAUGGGUGUUGUUCGCAUAGGAUGAUUUGCGAUGAUUCGCGAAGAAAUAAAUCCGCUGAUUUGCGAGAUAUUAGUGCUGAACUCAUCUCGCUGAUUUGAGAAGAUUUACGCUGAUUUACUGGAUAAAGACUUAUAUGCCCCGUACGAAAAAUAAAAUUCCAAUACAAACCUUAUUCGAAUUGGAUGCUUAAUAACAGAUCCCAUAAGUAUUGGCUUGAAAGUGACCAGCGGUGGAGUAGAGGUAAUGUUUCUUUCCAUUUUUGAUGUGGUUGUUGUAGGUAGAAGGUCUGGGAUUUAAAGGAAGAGCAAGACAAUCAUUAAUGGAGGAGCAAGAACGCUGUUGAUGAUGAUGACGGAGUGGAUACAGAUGACCAAACGUGGAAGGAGGGAUUGAAGAAGUGAAGAAGCAGGCUGCGUAUUCGGUUUGAAGAAGAGGGUAUCCGGUUCGAGCAUUUUGAAGGAGUUCCAAAGCAGGCGUAUCCGGAUACAAGGUUGGUGUAUCCGGAUCCAGCUUCUCCAACAACUUCCAUGGGGAGACGUAUCCGGAUCCAGCUUCUCUAGCAACUUCACGUAUCCGGUUCCAGCUUGUCGAAGAACUUCCAACGAAGGCGUAUUCGGAUACACAUUAUUGUAUCCGGUUCCAGCCAAGGUGUGCGCGGGUUUAUUCGGUUUUGCCGGCGUCGUUUCCGGUUCGUUGUGGUCUGUGAGUGGUUUGGACAUCAAUAACUGCGUUCCUCCGUCCCUCGCAUUCAUUGGUUAGCUCCAGCGUACCUUCAUCCAUGGAAGCGAUGGUGCCUUUGGUGUUGACGAGAAGGGCGCAGAUGGUGGAGGGUGUGUUCUUAUGAGCAGCAGUCGUCGCAGACAGAGACGGAGGUGGAGAGGUUGGAAGCAUUGACAGACGAGGUGGAUCCGGUUCCAUACCUCGAGUAUUCGGUUCCAGAACUUGGAACCAUUGACACAUCAGUUGUAUCCGGUUUCAGCCAGUAGUAUUCAGGCUUUCCAGGCAUUGCAGAGAGCUGCCAUGGUUGUUUAAGCAUUCCACGAAGCUGGAGAAGGAGACGUUGGAGAAGGAGACCAAGCUGGAGUGAAUCAUCCUCUUGCAUGCAUUAAAGUCCAUGUAGGUAUAAAAAGAUGAGCACCCCUAACCCUAUGUUUGUGAUGUAGUGCUUGGAGGUAUUGGCAGCAAGCUACGUGAAGGUGCAUGCAGGUGGUGGAGAUUUCGCAAGGUGGUGGACCAUUUCUGUGCUGUGUAGCCUAGGCAAGGUGGUGGACAUUGAUCAAGAUCAUUAUGUUUAAUUGAAAACAAGAUAUGGUGGCUGGUUGCUUGUGAAGUUGGUGGAUAGAGCUGCAUCAUUGACUUAAGUGGCAAGCUGAUCCAUUUUUAUGCUUAGAAAAAUUCAGAUUUGAAUAUAUCUUCUACAGAAAAGGAGAAAGUGUUAUUGUUAUUGCAGAAUCUGUGACUCACCUCACUGCCAUUGCAUUAUAAUUUGGACUCUACAUUAUAAUUUGGACUCCAAGUUUUUGCUCAAACCAGCAUAUAGUAAUCUUCAUUCGUCUUCAAAUCUGAUGAACUGCAAGAAAUAAUUAAUCAAGGAAGAAGACUAUCUAUUGCUCUUGAACGACAAACACAGGCCAUGGAGUGUCGAAAUUCCCUGUUAAAUGCUAGGAUUGAACCAUCUAAUCUAACAACAGAAGAAAUUGAAAACUUAUUACAGACUAUGAACAUUGAAGAUCAAAAUUUAUUCAGACAGUGCUUCGACUUUUUAUCUUCGCAUCCAUCCCAUACAAGACGUCUAAUAGGGAUGCCGCAACAAUAUCGUUUCAAUGCAUUGCAAUGAUACCUCACUGAAGCAAGGUCAUCAUGAACUAUUAAUAUAUUUGUAUGUUAUUAUGUUGGGACUUUUUUUUAGAUCAUGUAAUAUAAUAACUACGUUUAAUUAUAUGUUUGUUUAAAAUUAAUGAAUCUCACUUUCGUAGACAAAUAAAUUGAUAGUAUUCGGUAAGAAAUUAUAUUACAAACAA